GAAGUCAAAGAUUCUGUCGUUGUGAGCCGAAACGUCCUGCAGGGUCAGGACUUGUUUUCCAAUGCUGGUAACUCCAUAUUCUCCCCUACAACAAACAACCAAUAAUUUAGCCAAUACAAAAUGGGUCCUUCAAAUGUAUGGGCAUAUAGGGCCCUGAGGGUGAUUGAGCAAUGUAAAGUUGGGACAUACUUGUGAGAGUAGGGCACCAGGAUGUGCUUUUCAGUGCAUGAACCAGAGGUCAUGUGCUUGUUGUCAUUAUCAAACUUGUACUGGCAGGUCUGUGAGCUCCUGAUCAGCUGGGCAAGAGGGUAGUGC
Molecule: long non-coding RNA, 315 nt
Organism: Gadus macrocephalus (Pacific cod)
Lineage: Eukaryota; Metazoa; Chordata; Actinopteri; Gadiformes; Gadidae
Exons: 2
Source: RefSeq, a predicted model, not a curated record